This 429-nucleotide long non-coding RNA is filed under the name Mytilus galloprovincialis (Mediterranean mussel). Lineage: Eukaryota; Metazoa; Mollusca; Bivalvia; Mytilida; Mytilidae. The record is from RNAcentral.
GUUGGCCCCAGAUGACUUUUAAAAUGUAUACAUCAUUGAAAAAGUUCCAAAUUAUCUCCCUUUGGUGGAAAAAUGCCAUUUUUGGGCUUUAAAAUUGAAAUAUCUUUUUUAACUCAUCGGUGACCUAUAUUUUUUAAUAUAAUUUCCAUAUAAGCUGUACUUAAACUAAAUUAUUGUAAAAUUUGAGCGAUUUCUGUAAUAAAUUUCUUUCUUUUUUUUUCGAUAUUACCUUUAUUUCUCCUAUUACUUCAACAGAAAAAAAAACCCUUUACAAAAAUGUAUGCUUCUUUCGAAGGCAGAUUGUGAGCGCAAAUGAACGGUGACCCCACUUUUUUUUUUUAUUUUUCUGUUAACUAUAAGAUAAAGUUCAUUUAUAGAAAAAUAUAGAGAAAUCCUAUAUAAAUGAUUUAGACCCGCGAACCCCCUUAA